UACAAAGUGUGUCAAUAUGUAUCACAAAUAUGUGAGUACAUACAGAAAAUUAAGCCACCCCUUUUAAGCAUAACUAAAUGUUAGUCCGCGGUCUGGACUAACAUAAAAGACAUACAUUCGUAUAUAUCUUGAUGAUACAUGGUAGCACCAUUUUUAGUACACGGCAAGCAAGACACUAUUAGGGACUAAUACAAUCACUAUUCAACUGGCAUUGCUAUUUUAAAAAAGACCAGCUUUACUAUAUUGAUGGUACAUGACAGAAAAGCUCUAGCCUUUCCCUAGAACUGCUUCUUGCUCACCAAGCUUCAUGUGCUGGGAGAGAUCAAACCAAACAAACAUGAUUCGGUUGGACACAAGACAGGUUUAGGCGUAUGCUGAGAAGUUCUUGCAAUCUUAAGGAAGGGAAGACUUUGAGAAAAUCUUCUUUUGUCCAUCUGUAGUCCUGAUGUUUCCCAUUGUCAGAGCAUCAUCCAUCUACAAAUACAAGAAAAACAAUUAUAGUUUACAUCACAAGGCAAGAAAUAGAAAUAAUUAUGUUCUCUUACGGACUGAAAGGUUGUAAAGCUUCGAAUUAUGGUUCAGUCAUGCACAUACAUUUCUGUAGUGUUUGCUGAGUAGUAGCUAGCACAUAAUAUAAGAGCGUUUUUGACACUAUAAGACUAUCAUGGCUUCUAUAUAUUUCAACUCAAUUUAUCACAACAGUUUCCCUACUGUUGCAACAGAAAAUAGUAGCUGAACUUCCUUUUUCACCUUUUGCAACAGCUAAUUUUGUUCUCGUAUUAUGCAUGAAGUGAGGCUGAGAUUUAUCUAUUUGGACAAGGCGCCACGUCUUGGACGGGUCACCUGGAGAAAAUAGGAAUAUAGGCUACAGAUUCACACAUGGUUAAAGCUUGCAUGGGCAUGCAUAUACCUAUGAUCAUUAUAUUACAAUUUCAAGGAUUAGUCAAAAGCAUAAAUGAGAACGGCAAACAAGUGGCAUCGAGCUAAAGGGAGUUUUAUGACUGCCCUGCAGAAGCAUGAUAUUACACUGGGGCUUAUAUAGAGAACCCUGCAACACAAAUUCUAAGUUUAAUAUCAUCGACCUUAUGUCACAAACACGAUACCAUAUUGAUCUGUGAAAUACUACAUGCCAUUUACUUAUGAGGUCUCAUUUUCUGUCACAUGUAGUAAUAUAUUUGGAAGCAAACUCAAAUUCAACUACUACUAGACAGAUGCAAUGCACAUUCAACUAGUAUUGCAGGUUGUGAGCAGUAUAGGUAACUCUUGAGAGAAUGAUUGUAUCUUUUUUGGACUACUGAAAUCAUCAAUGAGAAGCAUGGGGAAUUUAUCUCUGCAAACGAGGUAGCAUCACUGUAAUCUUGAUUUCGAACGUUGUUGAUCGAUUCCACGGCUACAAUUUUUUUUGGAGAACAACAUCACACAAGGGAUUAACAGAAUGUUAGGUACAUCAAUGUACUUUCUUAGACCGAUGUUCUCAUCUUAUAGUGCUGGUGCACAUGCUGUGGUCAUUGCAACCAUGGGGUCUCCUAAAGGCGAUGUCACGCUUCUCCCCUCCAUUACUGGAUUCUGAGAUGAGAAUUGCAUAGUUAGAAAUGAUAUCAUCUUUUAAAGUCAGACGUUAGGCACAUGGACAAGAUAAAGAACAUAACCUACAGCAACAGUUUGUGAAUCAGAAUGUAUACCGUGACACUUCCUAUUGUUGACCCUGAGUAUUUACGAUGCACAAAUUGUUUGCCCACGAUGCCACCAUUUUGGGAAUAUAAUCUAUAUACUAUGACAUUUCCUAUUGUUCCCUGUUAAAAUACUUUUUGUGCACUAUGUUUUGCUUUCUCAAAUAUUAGUGCUUGGUAUAGCACAGCAGCUACAUAUAUCCUUGUUUAAUCUGUAUUAAAACAGUAUAAUGUUGAUUAUGAUUUAUGAAGAAAUGCAUGGCACACAUAUCUUACUUGCCGGUCCUGGCGUGCUAAUGUUGUCAUUUUUACUUGGCACUGCUCUCAAAGUGUGUACUCAUAAUUAAAAUGGAUGUAUACCAUCAUCUUUAAUACUUUGAGAGCUAGUUUUACAUAUAACUGGAACAUGUUAUUACUGGAAAGAUCCAAAGUAACAUGAAUCCAAAUUUGGAUAUGCCGAUAAAUGGACCAAUUUCAUUUUUUUCUGUCUAGUACAAUCAGUUUACUUCCUUUCAAGCUUGUCAAGCUACUGACUCUGUAUAUCGAACUGUGGGUACUGAAUUUUUUAGUGAAUUAUCGUAAACUUCAAGACCCUAAGAUUAUCCAACCGUCCUCAACCUUCUAACUUAGUUCUAUAGAGUACUUAACAGUGAAACAAAAUUUCCAAAUUACAGUACGAAACCACCAAGAACAGGAGCAAUACACCAUCAAAUCGAAGUUACUAAAUGCAUCAUGCACACACAAGCAGAUUUGACAUGAACAAGUGCAGGAAAAUAGAACUGUACAGAUAAGUUAAAUUGGGAUGCAACACAAAUAGCAAACAAAGUUAACAUCUAUUUGCCGCUGACGAGGGGGAGGAGGACAAGAGGUGAUCCUGGUGCGUGAGAGAGAGAGAGAGAGAGAGAGAGAGAGAGAGAGAGAGAGAGAGGAGGCGACGAACCGACAGCUAACGAAGAUUCAGAUGAGAGGUUGCGAGCCUGUACGAGCACACUGCGGGGUGGAGCAUAGUAGCCGAGGAGAUCUGAUUUGGUCUGCCUCAAACCGCGCCGCCGACGACAUGACAGUCAGGAGCCAUCGGAGAUUUUCUGACUUUGCCUAGCUUGAGGAUGGAUCUGGG
Molecule: long non-coding RNA, 2787 nt
Filed under: Triticum aestivum (bread wheat)
Lineage: Eukaryota; Viridiplantae; Streptophyta; Magnoliopsida; Poales; Poaceae
Description: long non-coding RNA (TAES_LNC023633)
Source: RNAcentral